GAGUUAUAUACUUAAAAAUUAAAAAAUUUGGCAGUAGUUUAAUCUUUUUAGAGGAACCUGUUUUUUAAUCGAUAUACCGCGAAGAAUCUUACUUGCUCUUGUAAAGUUUAGUUUGUAUACCAUCAUUAUCAGAUGAUUCUAAAAAGAGAAAUUAUUGAAUUUAGUUUAUCUAAGAAAAUUAGAUCAUGGUGCAGCUUAUGGGUAAGUUAAAAUGGGUUACAAUAAAUUAAUUUAAAUGGAAUAUAAUAUGAAAAUUUAUAAUGAAGGAGGAUUUAAUUGUAUUGGAGGUUAAGCAUAUGCCAUCAAGAAAUAAGCUCUAAAUUAUGU
Molecule: ribosomal RNA, 327 nt
Filed under: Ocypode mortoni
Lineage: Eukaryota; Metazoa; Arthropoda; Malacostraca; Decapoda; Ocypodidae
Description: partial 12S ribosomal RNA
Source: RNAcentral